GAUGAACGCUGGCGGCGUGCCUAAUACAUGCAAGUCGAGCGAACAGACGAGGAGCUUGCUCCUUUGACGUUAGCGGCGGACGGGUGAGUAACACGUAGGUAACCUACCUAUAAGACUGGGAUAACUUCGGGAAACCGGAGCUAAUACCGGAUAAUAUUUCGAACCGCAUGGUUCGAUAGUGAAAGAUGGCUUUGCUAUCACUUAUAGAUGGACCUGCGCCGUAUUAGCUAGUUGGUAAGGUAACGGCUUACCAAGGCAACGAUACGUAGCCGACCUGAGAGGGUGAUCGGCCACACUGGAACUGAGACACGGUCCAGACUCCUACGGGAGGCAGCAGUAGGGAAUCUUCCGCAAUGGGCGAAAGCCUGACGGAGCAACGCCGCGUGAGUGAUGAAGGUCUUCGGAUCGUAAAACUCUGUUAUUAGGGAAGAACAAACGUGUAAGUAACUAUGCACGUCUUGACGGUACCUAAUCAGAAAGCCACGGCUAACUACGUG
This 497-nucleotide ribosomal RNA is filed under the name uncultured bacterium. RNAcentral describes it as "partial 16S ribosomal RNA". It matches the Rfam family "Bacterial small subunit ribosomal RNA", at positions 28 to 507 of the family's 1533-position model. The record is from RNAcentral.